This is a long non-coding RNA of Sapajus apella (tufted capuchin), 5083 nucleotides long. RefSeq lists it as uncharacterized. The record is from RefSeq and is a predicted model, not a curated record. Lineage: Eukaryota; Metazoa; Chordata; Mammalia; Primates; Cebidae. The transcript has 3 exons.
CUAGCGCUUCCGGUCAACAGGAGGCGGGGCGAGGCGGAAGCGGCGCUUUCCCCACGUGGACUCUAUUAAUUGUUGAGAAAGAGUCAGGGCGAGUUUAGUGCACUGUGGCAGCUUUGAGAUAAAGUCUGGUUCUUCCCCAGCUCGCUCAGGAAAUGUUCGCGGAUAUAAUGACAGCCGUCUCUAGGCACACCUGUCUGUGGAGCGGAGAGUGAACAGGUAACCACCGUGUGAAUGGGAAUGGCAAGACAGCAAAGGCUCGCUCAGUGAGCGACGCAACACCAGCGUGGGUUGCGGCCUCCCCAUCAAGUUGCAUGUCACUAGCUUUCUGUGGCUGUCACUGCUGGGCCCAGGUGCCUCUGAAGAUCAGCACCUCCUCAUGGGCUCAAGCAAGGACAGGAGCCAUUCACCCAUGAGCUCGAAAGAACAGAGCCGCUGUCCUGCCUCGAUGGCUCCACCGUAUCUCCAGUGGACUUUGGACAAUGGGGAGCUGGCCCAGUAAGUCCACCCGUGUGUGGUCACUUGGCUUUUUUUUCACCCAGCCCCCAGGUACUGUUGCUGCUCCUGUCUGAGGCCCCAUCCACAGCCACAGCUGUGGCGGGGUGGCUGGUGGUGGCCAGUGUGGCCCUGCUGCAGCUCCAUGCUGGGGAGGGGUGUGGCCCAAAAAGCAACUACCCCUUCAUGUGGGCCAGUGGGGAGGAUCCUAGGAAGCAGCCCUGGCAAGGUGAGUGGACGUGUUGAUGUGGUGAGAGGUGAGAAGCAGUACUGCUCCCAGAGCCCUGUGAUUCCUGGGGGGAGGAGGCUCGCAGAUGCCUUGCCUGCUCUCCUCCUGGGUGCUUUCCUGUUCCCAGGGCUGGGACCUUGGAGGGAGUCUGUGUCUGCCCAUGUUCGAGGGCCCAGCAUAGGCAGGCCCUCUGGGGAGCCCUUCGUGGCUUGUGGGGAGUCUGGGGCAGGGCAAGGGACAGCAUCUUCCACCCACCACAGGCCUUGGGAGGCGUCUGUCCUGAAGGCCACCCCUGUGGGAAGGCCUCUUUCGUGUGACUCCUUCCCCAUGAAACGGCUUCUCCAUACUGUUCAGCCCCACAGGUGCCCUGAGAAAACACAAUGUGCUUUCUCACACAUCACAGCCCCCAGAGAAGAGUUUGGUUACAGAGAAUCUGACAGUUCAUGGCCUCCUGAGGGUGGGUCAGUGGGAAAAGUCCCCAGGGGAGCUUGGGGCCCAAGGCCUCCCACGGCCCGGGUGUGGCUGCCCACUGGGAGGCCCACAUUGCCUCAGUGUCCUGCGUUCGGGGUGCCUGAGGGCUGGAAGGGGAGCAAGGGCCGGGGACCAGCGGCUCACAGGGACCUGGGGAGAUGGGGAGAACUGUGGAGGCAGCCUUCCCAGCCGUCCCACCCAGGGAAGGAGUGGCCAGGGUUGGAAGAAAUACAGCACUACCUUGGCCUUGGUCUUGGCCUCAGACCCGAGGGUCUGGCUAUAGCUGUGGUGGCAGCUAUGUCGUAGGGGCGGCAUCAUGGCCCUGGCAUUGGCCCCAGGACUGUGGGCCAGCACAGACCAUCACGAAGUUUCUGCUGGGCUCGGUGUGGGAGCCCCUCCUAGCCAUGGAGACAGGCCACGUCAGCCCCCCAGGAUCUGUUGCCCGACAGCUCUCAGUCUUUUGCCUGGGGCCUCUGUGUCACGUGGAAUCAUUCUGAGUUCUCUGCUUUCUGGCGGCGACAUCUUCUACGCACUGCUUACUCCGCAGACCGUCCUGCCUUCCUGUUAGAAGCCAUCCGUGGGCACUCCAGUGUCACCUGUGGUAACUCCUGCAUUUUGCCAGGCUAUGGGAUGUGGAGACUGAAGAGUCCAACUUGGCCAGAAACCUGACCCUCACUCAUUCCUCAGAGAGGCCUCACAUUGAGCAGGGACAGCCAGCAGCUGGAGAGAGUGGAGCCCUGACACUGGCUCCAGAACAGAGGUGCUCUCUGACACCCCUUUCAUCCAGCAUGUUCUCCGUGAGCACCUGCCGUGGCCCGGGCCUCAUUCUGUGCUGCCGGCUGAGCCCAGCUCUCGUGGGCUUGCGUGAGGCUGACUGCCGUGUGAGCUGCAUGUGAUCUUCAGUGAGGAGUAGACACGCAGGGCGGAGGUGGGGGGGUAGGACGGCAUGUGCUCGCAGACACUGGAUGAUACGAAAGAGGCUCUAGCGAAGGAAAGGACAAGCUGCGGAGGAAGCAGAGCGCUGAAGGGAGGGACAGUGCGAGGGCCUGAAACUGUCAACCUGAAACAAGCAGUAGAGUCUGCAAAUGAGCCCCAGGGCCAGCCCUGGGGAGGAAGCAGCAGUGACGUGAGGUUCUUGUCAGAAGCCUCUAGGGGCAGGGUAGGGCCUGUACUGAGGACAGACACGCCCAUGGUCUUUGAGGAGCUGUAGGGUGAGCUUCUGGUGGAAGCAGUUUCCAUGUCCUGGCACGUGCUGUCUCGUUAGGACAUCAGACAUGACCCUGGAGUUCACAUGAGGAUGCAGAGGUCUUCCGUUCCAGAGGACACUUGGCUGGGCAGAGGGACACGGCCUUGCGUCCCUGGUGCGCUCUUGUUGUCUGGCACACCGCUGAAUGGGACAUCUGUGGCUGGAAGAUGUCCUUGUGGCCUGUGCUAGUUAGACCAGCCUGGCUGGUUAUCAGUCUACAUCCUCACCCACUCCCCUUUUCAGUGAGUUAUUCCCGGUCCCACAGGCUCUGCCUCUGGUGUGGAAGAGGCAUACCCGCCAAGGACCAGAGGAGCUGGCCACCGUUCAGAAGGCCCCAGCUCGAAGGCCAGUAGACCCGCCCGGAAGCUCCACGCAGGCAAGCUUGCAGAGAUUAAUUUAACGCAAGAAUGCUGCAGAUCCUCAGGGUUGGUGUAAAAAUAGCUCAUCCUGAUGUGAGAAAGCAGUCAGCUUUUCUUGUUGCCAUUGGCUGCCAGCACCCAUUCUUUGUGGAUGUGAAAAUGCCACAGGUGCUGCACUUCCUCCUCAGGCAUUCCGCAGCGCCCAUGCCUGUCUCCAGAGUGGGGCCCAGGAUGGACGCGUGUACCCCACUCUGUCCCCUGAUGUGGAGCUUGGCCCUGCAGCUCAACAGCACCCAUGGAAUGUGGACAGAAGUGACAGCAGCCAGCUCUGCCUCUUCACUGAGGCGGCACAUGUUCUGCAUGUGCCCUGGGAGCCUCCACCUUCCACACUGUGGGAAGAGGGUGCCCAGGGAGCUGCAGUCCCUCCACCCUAGCCCAGGACAAGGCUCAGGAGCAGAGCCAUCCCCACCGACCUGCACCUCACAGCCCUGCAGGUGUGAGGGAAGUGCGUGUUGUACACACUGAGUUUUCAGGUGGCUGUGACAUGGCAGCAUUGCCUGACACGGACAGAAAAGAGAUCCGCCAGGGAGAAGUGAGAGUCUGGAGACCCCGCAUCGGAGAGGCCACAGGCUGCAGGGGCAGGAUGGCUUCUUAGAAGGUGAAAUGAUUCUUUUGGAAAUAACGUCAUCCCAUCUAACAGAGGAAGACAUGGAGCCUCCAGAUGGUUGAAGGCCCAGCAGUGAUCCCAGACAGGCCGCAUGUCAGACCAGGCUCCUUCAGGGUUGUGCUGCCCUCACCAGAGCCCGUCCUGAGGGCAGCCACACGGUGGGCAGCACUCGCCAUUUGUUCAAGCGAGGCCCAAAUUCCAGCCUGCCUUCUGGCAGGUAGAGGAAGCAGGGGCACCAUGCUUCGGAGGUCCUGAAAGCAGAUGGGGAAGCAUUUGGUCAAGAGCCAGGAGGGGAUGACAGACCAAAGGGGAGCCCUUGUCCCAUGUUCUGAAGGCCGGGGGGCUGGACACUUGCUCGGUGAGCUAUAAUUGGCGUCCCUGUGCCCCACCGGAAGGUGCACCAGGCGUCAUCUUUGGUGGAGAACAGUGGCUGCCCUGGAGCCUUGCGCCCUUCCCCGUCGUGGGUCACUGUCACGUGUGUGUCCAGGAAAGAAAAACACCAAAGGCAGAGGACCAGUCAUUCCCUAGGCCAAAUACUCCAUGGCCUUGCUUAGAGACUGGAUUUUGAUAUGCUGGAGGCUGUCCUAGACUCAGAGAUUGGAAACAGGAAAGAACCAUCAUUGAAACCUUUGGGAAAGCCUGCAGCGGGGCAUCUGGUGGCCUGAGGAGUGGCGGUGUUUCCAUCUGGUAGACACGGUCUCAUGGGGAGGGACGUAGGAGCGCAUGAGCGCUGCCAGCCAGAGGUGUCUGUCAGCGUCUUAUGAAAUGGGCUCCAGUCUUGAAGCUGGUUUACCUUCCUAUUUUUAGUCCCCGCUGGUCCUGCCUUCUCCUUCAUGGCCAGUAGGCCAGACCCAGCACUUUCCUGACUUUCGACCUUGGCCCCUGCUGACACUCGCCCUUGAGGCCUCCUGCAGACCCCAUUUGUAUUCACUUCCUGCAGUUCUCAUACCUGGAUCCCACCUGGGCUUCCCCAAGGCCUUCCAGGCCCUCAUCCCCCGGCGGGGACUACAGACUCCUACACGCAGGGCUGUCCUUGGGAGGGCCAGCGCAGCCCCUUCCAAGUGGGCAAGACCCAGGGAUGGCUCAAAAGAGCUGUGCCUUAGCCCCGGACCUCUGAUGAAUGUUGAUUCAUGUAGCAAGAGGACUUGCAGAUGUGAGUAAAGGCUGGUGAGAUAAGACCAUCAUCCCCGCUAUCUGGGAGGCCCCUAAAUGCAGGCACACACAUCUUCUGAAGAGGAGGCAGAGAUGGGUGACACAGCCACAACCAAGGAAGACCAAGGAUUGCUGGUAGCCCACAGAAACUGGAGGGCAAGGAGGGUCCCUCCAGAACCUGCAGGAAGUAGACCAAGGUCCUGCUGUCAUCCUGACUUCAUACGUCCAGUCUCCAGAACUGAGAGAAGAUCCAUUUCUAUUAUUGUUAAGCAACCAAACUUGUGGUAGUUACAGCAGCCUCAGGAAAUGAAUACAAAUGGAAACUUAAAGAUUCAGAGAAAUGAGUGGGUGCAGUGGACCAUGACUGUAACCCCAGCAUUUGUGUGAGGAUUGCUUGAGGUCAGAAGUUGGAGACCUUGUCUCCAUGAAAAACUUAAAAUAUACGCCAGGCAUGGUGGCUCAUGCCU